Molecule: long non-coding RNA, 1435 nt
Filed under: Sorghum bicolor (sorghum)
Lineage: Eukaryota; Viridiplantae; Streptophyta; Magnoliopsida; Poales; Poaceae
Description: long non-coding RNA (SBIC_LNC007932)
Source: RNAcentral
GCAGAGUAGGAUACCUGUGAAACCUGUACAAACCAGUUAGCCAAUAAGAAAUCACUGAACGGAAAGGAAACAUUCGUAAUAAGGCAACAUUUGGUAUGGACAGGUUAAACAUGACAUCUGCUGAACAUGUUACUUUAUAGCAACCUGCACAGAGCUAUCUUCUAAUUAGAUAGGAAUUCUUCAUGUGAACCGCAAUCUUUUUAAGGCAAAAGGACAUCGAGGUGUAGGCCUUGUUUAGUUCCCAAAAAUUUUGAAAAUUUUUUUAGAUGGAGUAUUAAAUAUAGAUAGAAAAAAACUAAUUGCACAGUUUGACGAGACGAAUCUUCUGAGCCUAGUUAGAGCAACUCCAGCAGGUUCCCUACUCAAGCCCCAAUAGCUAAAUAUAGGUGUCUAGGCUAAAAACAUUACUCCAGCAGACCCUCCAGACCCCAUAUUUGGCUGGGCACCCAUAUUUUCCCUCAGACCCCAUUCUUGUUGGCCCAAGCCCCCAUCCUCCAUCGCGUGUCCUAGCCCUGUAUGACACCCUACCGUAACCGGAUUGAUGCUCUAAUUGUGUUCCUAUCCAAAGAAGAGAAAGAAAAAAAAGACAAUGACGAGUGGGUCCCUUAUGUCAUUCUCUCUGGAAUAGGUUUGGAGGCCCAAAUUUGGGUGGUAAUGUUGGAGUUGAAGCAAAAAAAAGUUGAGCCCUAAGAAGUAGGAGGAGCACCCAAAUUAAAAGUAGGGGUCUAGUUUUAAGGGCUGUGGAGUUGCUCUUAGUCCAUAAUUGGACAAUAUUUGUCAAAUACAAACGAAAGUGCUACUAUUCCUAUUUUGCAAAAUUUUUUAGAGGUAAACAAGGUUAACUAAAAAUCUUUUGCCUUUCUGUAGUGAGCACACGGCAUUUUUUAGUCAUCAUCAUUAUUUAGUUUUUGCAUCAGGUAUAUAGUCCAUAAUUGGACAAUAUUUAUCGAAUACAAACGAAAGUGCUACUAUUCCUAUUUUGCAAAAAUAUUUUGGAAGUAAACAAGAUUAACUAAAAAGCUUUUGCCUUUCUGUAGUGAGCACACGGCAUUUUUGACUCAUCAUCAUUAUUUAGUUUUUGCAUCAGGUAUGAGCAAGCAAAAUUACAUGUGCACAAAUUGGAAGCCUCUGUGAUAAGGCAGGUAUCCAUUCUAAGCUGCUGCAUUGCCUAUUUAUUUUGCAGGAUCGAAAUGUAACCAGAAAAUAUUUCAUCAUCAAACAAUGAUGUGUCAAUGCAUCACUACUAAAUACAUACACCGCAGUUUGGAUGAGUAUUAUUAUUCAGUAGGAGCACAAUAUUGUUUUUGCUUCCUUCAGUGUGAAACCGCAGUAAAGCAUACAUGAUAUUCCACGGUUCAUAUACCCAUUUAGGAGAUGAUAACUUUCAUACAUAGUAACAUAGUACUAGGAAGUAAAUAAAAUGGUGUGUACCUUU